This 498-nucleotide ribosomal RNA is filed under the name uncultured bacterium. Its description in RNAcentral is "partial 16S ribosomal RNA". It matches the Rfam family "Bacterial small subunit ribosomal RNA", at positions 30 to 523 of the family's 1533-position model. The record is from RNAcentral.
AUUGAACGCUGGCGGCAUGCCUUACACAUGCAAGUCGAACGGUAACAGGUCUUCGGAUGCUGACGAGUGGCGAACGGGUGAGUAAUACAUCGGAACGUGCCUAGUAGUGGGGGAUAACUACUCGAAAGAGUGGCUAAUACCGCAUGAGAUCUACGGAUGAAAGCAGGCGAUCGCAAGACCUUGUGCUACUAGAGCGGCCGAUGGCCGAUUAGGUAGUUGGUGGGAUAAAAGCUUACCAAGCCGACGAUCUGUAGCUGGUCUGAGAGGACGAUCAGCCACACUGGGACUGAGACACGGCCCAGACUCCUACGGGAGGCAGCAGUGGGGAAUUUUGGACAAUGGGCGAAAGCCUGAUCCAGCAAUGCCGCGUGCAGGAUGAAGGCCUUCGGGUUGUAAACUGCUUUUGUACGGAACGAAAAGCCCCGGGUUAAUACCCUGGGGUCAUGACGGUACCGUAAGAAUAAGCACCGGCUAACUACGUGCCAGCAGCCGCAGUAA